GGGUCAGUAGGUUGGUCGUGCCACCGGUACGUACUGGUCUCACUGAUUCCUCCUUCCUGAAGAACCGUAAUGCCAUUAAUUUGGUGUUGCGGGGAAACAGGACUGUUACUUUGAAAAAAUUAGAGCGUUAAAAGCAAGCUAACGCUUGAAUACAUUAGCAUGGAAUAAUGAAAUAGGACGAUCGAUCCUAUUUUGUUGGUUUCUAGGAUUGACGUA
Molecule: ribosomal RNA, 216 nt
Filed under: Glomeromycotina sp.
Lineage: Eukaryota; Fungi; Glomeromycota
Description: partial small subunit ribosomal RNA
Rfam family: Eukaryotic small subunit ribosomal RNA (bases 40-216)
Source: RNAcentral